AUUCCUUAAUCCUGUUUCCCCAGUCACAGUCCCAGGAUCUUUCAUGACUAUCUUGACUUCAUUCAAACCUAGAACAAAUCAGUGUUACACCCCUCAGUGACAUGGCUGUUUUUCUCCCAGAAUUGGGGCCUCAGUCCUAUACUCAGUCUCUCCUCUGUCCCCAUCUGGGGGCGAGUUUGUCCAUAACCAGGACCAGGAGGCAGCUCAGUGUGUGGCCGAGGCCCAUGACCCUGACAGUGUCGCCGAGGUGCUUGUGGGACAAGCCCGGAGGGCCUUGGAGGAGAAGGACUUUCAGAAAGCAGAAGGGCUGCUGCUCCGGGCCCAGAGACCAGGCCUGACUCUCAAUUAUUAUAAGGAGGCUGGAUUAUGGAGUGACGCGCUGCGGAUCUGCAAGGACUAUGUGCCCGGCCAGCUGGAGGCUCUGCAGGAGGAGUAUGAGCGGGAAGCUACUAAGAAGGGGGCCAGGGGUGUGGAGGGACUCGUGGAACAAGCUCGACACUGGGAGCAGGCUGGAGAGUACAGUCGUGCCGUGGACUGCUACCUCCGAGUGCGAGACUCUGGAAACAGCGGCCUGAUGGAGAAGUGCUGGAUGAAGUGUUUCAGAACUCCCGGGGGACUGGAUCCAGGAAUAUAUACUCUGGUCAAUGAAGCGGAGUCUUCAACAGAUCUUCUGAUACCUGGAAAG
This is a non-coding RNA of Saimiri boliviensis boliviensis (Bolivian squirrel monkey), 685 nucleotides long. The record is from RefSeq and is a predicted model, not a curated record. Lineage: Eukaryota; Metazoa; Chordata; Mammalia; Primates; Cebidae.